AUUGAACGCUGGCGGCAGGCCUAACACAUGCAAGUCGAGCGGAUGAAGGGAGCUUGCUCCUGGAUUCAGCGGCGGACGGGUGAGUAAUGCCUAGGAAUCUGCCUGGUAGUGGGGGAUAACGUCCGGAAACGGGCGCUAAUACCGCAUACGUCCUGAGGGAGAAAGUGGGGGAUCUUCGGACCUCACGCUAUCAGAUGAGCCUAGGUCGGAUUAGCUAGUUGGUGGGGUAAAGGCCUACCAAGGCGACGAUCCGUAACUGGUCUGAGAGGAUGAUCAGUCACACUGGAACUGAGACACGGUCCAGACUCCUACGGGAGGCAGCAGUGGGGAAUAUUGGACAAUGGGCGAAAGCCUGAUCCAGCCAUGCCGCGUGUGUGAAGAAGGUCUGCGGAUUGUAAAGCACUUUAAGUUGGGAGGAAGGGCAGUAAGUUAAUACCUUGCUGUUUGGACGUGACCAACAGAAUAAGCACCGGCGAACUUCGU
This 483-nucleotide ribosomal RNA is filed under the name uncultured bacterium. RNAcentral describes it as "partial 16S ribosomal RNA". It matches the Rfam family "Bacterial small subunit ribosomal RNA", at positions 30 to 506 of the family's 1533-position model. The record is from RNAcentral.